GACAGCUGCCUCUAGAGGGAAGAAAGUGAGACAAAAUAAUGGAAGUAAGGAAUUUUGUUUGUAUUAUUGUCUUUGAUAUUUAUAUAUGUCUGUGAAUGUCUCCCAAACAGAACUAGACCCAUACUCAGACAGAUUGUUGGAUGACAUAAAAUAGGGGCCAGAAAACAUUCUGUGUAAAAGGCCAGAUUAUAAAUAUUUUAGGCUCUGUGGGCCAUAUGGUCUCACACAACUACUAACUUAUGUCAGAGCAUGAAAAAAAAAACAGACAAUAUGUAAAACAAAAAAAAGUGUGGCUAUGUUCCUAUAAAUCUUUCUUUAUAAACACAGAAAUUUGAAUUUCAUAUAAUUU
Molecule: long non-coding RNA, 349 nt
Filed under: Pan troglodytes (chimpanzee)
Lineage: Eukaryota; Metazoa; Chordata; Mammalia; Primates; Hominidae
Description: long non-coding RNA NONPTRT009971
Source: RNAcentral